AGACGUCUACAUUAGAUACCCGGGUAGUCCCAGCCGUAAACUAUGCGCGUUAGGUGUAUCGGUGACCACGAGUCACCGAGGUGCCGAAGGGAAACCGUGAAACGUGCCGCCUGGGAAGUACGGUCGCAAGGCUGAAACUUAAAGGAAUUGGCGGGGAGCACAACAACGGGUGGAGCCUGCGGUUUAAUUGGACUCAACGCCGGGAAGCUCACCGGAUAAGACAGCGGAAUGAUUGCCGGGCUGAAGACUCUGCAUGACUAGCUG
RNAcentral lists this ribosomal RNA (264 nucleotides) under uncultured archaeon. RNAcentral's name for it is "partial 16S ribosomal RNA". It matches the Rfam family "Archaeal small subunit ribosomal RNA", at positions 717 to 982 of the family's 1478-position model. The record is from RNAcentral.